Molecule: unclassified non-coding RNA, 215 nt
Filed under: Hevea brasiliensis (rubber tree)
Lineage: Eukaryota; Viridiplantae; Streptophyta; Magnoliopsida; Malpighiales; Euphorbiaceae
Source: RNAcentral
GAGUAUCAAUCUGGCCCAAGUGAGGUAAAAAAAAAAAAAAAUGAAGGUUUUAUCCAUCACCUGGUAGAGAAUUUUCCUUUUAACAUUUUCUGGAGCUGUCAUUGGGAGCAUAAUGGCAUCAUAAUGCUAUGUGCUCCACUCAUUCCUAAAGUCCCGAGGAUCUUCAUAUGAGGAAAAAAAAAAUUGCAUCUUAAGUGGAUCAAACCCUUGCUCUG